This 61-nucleotide transfer RNA is filed under the name marine eukaryotic metagenome. It matches the Rfam family "tRNA", at positions 6 to 65 of the family's 71-position model. Rfam says of the family: Transfer RNA (tRNA) molecules are approximately 80 nucleotides in length. Their secondary structure includes four short double-helical elements and three loops (D, anti-codon, and T loops). Further hydrogen bonds mediate the characteristic L-shaped molecular structure. tRNAs have two regions of fundamental functional importance: the anti-codon, which is responsible for specific mRNA codon recognition, and the 3' end, to which the tRNAs corresponding amino acid is attached (by aminoacyl-tRNA synthetases). tRNAs cope with the degeneracy of the genetic code in two manners: having more than one tRNA (with a specific anti-codon) for a particular amino acid; and 'wobble' base-pairing, i.e. permitting non-standard base-pairing at the 3rd anti-codon position. The record is from RNAcentral.
AAUAGCUCAAUGGUAGAGCACUCGGCUGUUAACCGAGGGGUUGUUGGUUCGAGUCCAACUU